RNAcentral lists this long non-coding RNA (2648 nucleotides) under Homo sapiens (human). Its description in RNAcentral is "non-protein coding lnc-DNAJB12-5:1". Lineage: Eukaryota; Metazoa; Chordata; Mammalia; Primates; Hominidae. The record is from RNAcentral.
GAGACCCGGGCCAGACUGAGUCCCUAGCGGCCCAUUACCCCGCCGGGCUCGUCCCAGACACCUUUGAUGGCUGCCCUUUGCCCCGUCUGGUCUGAGCGGACAAACGAGGGAAAUUGAGUAAGCCAGCUCAGCAAGACAGGAAACUCCUGGCCGCUUUGUUACUCAUGAUUUUCAGCAACUUGGGGAGUGGGGGGCAGGGGAGGGGAGUCCUAGGGGAAUUUCUGUAGUUCAAGAAGUUUGGGGGCUCCAGGACUGGGAGUGCCCUCGGGGAGGUCUACCUCCCGGGGCAGGUCUAUUUCCCAGGCCAGGUACCGUAGUUGGCACUAGUAAGUAAGUGCUCCACAAAUUCGUGUUAACAUGCAUUUUCAAGAAUGCAAUUUAUUUAAUUUUCAAGUCUUCAGUCCCAGCUACUCCGUAGGCUGAGGCGGGAGGACCCCUUUAGCCCAGGAGGUCAAGGCUGCAGUGAGCUACGAUCUUGCCACUGCAUUCCAGCCUGGGUGACAUAGCUAGACUGGUCUCAAAAAAAAAAAAAAAAAAAGGCAUUUUCUCACCUACCUGCUUUGAGUGCCUGCCAGAAAGAAUCUCCAGGUGAAAGGGGACAGGUUUAGGGCUGGAGCUGAAGGCUGGCAUUUGGGGUUUGAGGUUCUGCGUUUGGCAUUGGUUUGCUGUUUCACUUGGGCAAAUCUCUUGGCCUCUCUGGGCUGCGUUUCUGUAGGGAAUCAGUAAUAAGGCAACCUGUCUGGCUCUAAGGCUCAGAGGCACGGGGCAGGCUUUGAAUUUCCAGCAAGCAGGAGAAAGAGCCUUUGAUUUGAAGCAGAGAUUUCCUCUUGAACAUUAAUAUUCUGGGCUUUUCCAGGCUGGAGCUUUAGAACCGCUGUUACUAAACUAAGUGACAUGAGUAGCCCCCCGUUGCUUACAGAAUUUCUUGGCUUGGCAUUUGGGGUUUUCUCACGUUGAUUCUACCCUGCCUGUAUGGCUUAACCCCCAACUACACCCCUACACUGUAAUUAGGAAGAGCCUCAGACUUCCCCACACACCCCACACAAUGUUCAGACUUCUGUGCCCUCACUCAUGCUGUUCCUUCUGCCCGGAAUGCUUUUCCCUACACUCUUCAAAUGAUUGGCUCUUUCUCAUAUUGAUCCCCACAUAAAUGUUACUUGAGUAGAGAUCCUGUUAUUAACUCUCAGAGCUUCCUGUUUUCUCUCUUUAGCUCUUACUGCAGUUCAGAAUUCGAAGUUGCUUUCUCCACCGGGCUGAAAGGUCGAUGAGGGAGAGAUCAUGUCUGUUUUCCUCAUCUCCACAUACCCAGCACUUACCAAGGUGCCUGGCAUACACUAAGAGAUCAAUAAAUAUAUAUGGAAAGGGGCCGGGCGCAGUGGCUUAUGCCUGUAAUCCCAGCACUUUGGGAGGUCGAGGCAGGCAGAUCACCUGAGGUCAGGAGUUGGAGACUAGCCUGGCCAACGUGGUGAAACCCUGUCUCUACUAAAAAUACAAAAAUUAGCCGGUUGUGGUGACACGUGCCUGUAAUCCCAGCUACUUGGGAGACUGAGGCAGGAGAAUAGCUUGAAUCCGGGAGGCGGAGGUUGCAGUGAGCCGAGAUCAUGCCAUUGCACUCCAGCCUGGAUGACGAGCAAAACUCCAUCUCAAAAAAUAAUAAUAAUAAAGGCCAGGCACGGUGGCUCACACCUGUAAUCCCAGCACUUUGGGAGGCCAAAGAGGGUGGAUCACAAGGUCAGGAGAUUGAGAGCAUUCUGGCCAACAUGAUGAAACCCCGUCUCUACUAAAAAUACAAAAAUUAGCCAGGUGUGGUGGCGCAUGCCUGUAAUCCCAGCUACUCAGGAGGCUGAGGCAGGAGAAUCUCUUGAACUCAGGAGGCGGAGGUUGCAGUGAGCCGAGAUCACAUCAUUGCACUCCAGCCCAGGCAACAGAGUGAGACUCCAUCUCAAAAAAUAAUAAUAAUAAUAAUUAAAUAAAUAAAUAAAUAUGGAAAGGAGGAAAGAAUGAAUGAUUGAUUAGCAAAACAUGAAAACAUUUUCUAAAAAGAUGGGUGGGCAUGCAUGUAUGUAAAUAAAGACAUAGUUAUGUCUGUAAACAUAAGAAAAAGUCAAGACAGUAUACAACAACCUAAUUCCCCGCAAGGAGUAAGAUGCAGAUUUCUGAUGGUUUAUUGUAUAUUCAAGUCUUGCUUAAAGGUCAUCUAUUCUGUAGGUCUCUGGUCCUGCCUGUGUGCUGUGCUAUAUCUGAGCAUGCUGCCAGGCACCCUGAAGCCAGGCCUGAUGCUCCCUCCUGAUCCAGUCCUAAUGAUCCUGCCUGAGGCCAGGCAGAGGGACAGAUGGCAGCAGCCCCUCGUGUGCCUGAGUUUGUCCACUGGUGCAGGUGAAAGCAGAGAUGGUAAGGACAAUGACAGUGCAGGACUGACACCAGGCCACCCAUCCCCACCCAGCAGGUGCCAUCGCCGCACGUGGCCUUGGGCUAUCAGCAGAGCUUCAAUGUGACAGGAAGCCUGGCCUCCUGCAAGGCUGGGCCCAGCUGGCUCACUUCCAGGUUCAAGACAGAGCCUCGGCUGUGGGAGGCACAACAGGCAGCUUUUCACUGCUCUCGGGGUGCCUAGGUGAGGGGCAACCUUUUUUUCUUUUUUUUGAGAUGGA